UCAGAGGGCCGGCACAGAGCUUCCUCCAACGAAAUCCUUCCUCUGGCCGCCGGCAAAGAGCCAGCUUUUCUGUCCACCCCUGACCUUGCUCCGAUGUGCAGCUACUUCUCCACCCGUCCUCUCUGUCGUGCCGCCGGCGCGGCUGCUUUGGGAUGCAGUUACUCCACAACCCAUCCACUCUGCCGUGCCGCCGGCGCGAGCACGGAGAUGGAGGGGACGCCUCCGAGGCGUAUGCGUCGCGCAGUGGCGCUCGUGGGUGUUUCGCCGAGGAACACGAGGCAGGCAAGGCGGAGUCUGGAGAAUGAGGUUGAGCCAGAGGACUCUAUUAGGAAGCGUGCAGGAGAAAGCCCACCCGGGCCGCGCAAAAGGUCAAGGCGGUGGUUGCGACUGCCGCCGAGGAGACAUGAGAGCUUGGCUCUGGUUCCGGCUCUUACCGAUGCCACUCACGUUACAAGAACGCUCCGGAACAGUCUGGGUUGGAAGGUCUCUGGAAAAGGAUGGUGGAGUUCUUCUUCUCUUGCUUUUUUCAAGAGAUAUCACCUUCAGCCUAAUCUCUGCAUUUUAUCACUUGGGCGUUAUGAUUUUGGAUCAGCCUUCUUGAAAGAUUCUCUACCACAGAGCUAGCCGAUGGAGGCGAUAAGUAACUUCCACUUGACCGAAGAAGUCGCAAUUCGGGUUGCCUAGCUGCGAAUCUUGCUGGUUCAGUUAAAACUUGUCUUCAGAUGUUGGGGACCAAGCCGUCGACGAAGGUGCUGAGCGACCGUCGAUGUUUCGGACCACGGGUGGAACAUCAUGCAGCGUCAGGACCGUUCUCGGCUCGUUUGAUUCUGAUUUAGGCGUCAGACUGGAGUUCUCGCUCGAUUGACUUGGAGAAGGAGCGGAUCGGCUUCAUGGUGUGCCCCAGGGCGGGGUCAGGUUGAGGCGGGCCGCUGGAGACGUGGAGCUCGUCCAGCGAUGCGAGGGUGCGGCCACGUUGGAGGCGCACCUUCGUCGUGGAGCUCUGCAGUAAGGGAGCACUUGGCGUGGUCGAGCUCGGCGUCGUUGGCCUGCAGCUCCGCAGCGUGGGAGCACUUGCGUCUGCCUGCUGCUGGCGGACGCGGGUGGUGGCACCGCUGGCGACUGGGUCCGGUAUCUGAACUGGGCGGCGAGACGGCGUGCACCUGGUGGCGCUCCACAAGGCCCAGAGGGAUGGAGAACUCGUCGACGACGCUGCAGGACUCCCGCCGUGCUGCGCCUCAGCCGCCAGUGCGCUGGCAGUGCCGCCACCCACCAUCACCAGGGUUACACCGGGAUGCAGGAGUAGCAGAUGAAGAGGCGAGGUUGAGAGCAGCAAUAGGAGCAGGGUCUCAAUGGAGAGGAAGACGAAGCACGCCAGGGCAGAAAAAGGCUACAGACAUAGCUCAGAGUCUACGUGAGAGUUACUGCUCUUUUGUUACCUAUGAAAAUGCAGGAAAAAGAUAAAAUGGAAAAAAUAGCACAUCAUAUUCUCCGGAUCUCAAAGCAAUGGAUGGUGAAGAUAGCUACCAUACCCAUGCUUGUGUGUACAAUUGUAUUUCUCAUUAUCUAUUUUCGUUGGUUUGGUCCGGCGGCCGGCCGGCUAGGGAGUUUGUGUAGAAGAGUUUGAUCUCCUUGCAUCCGACCUGUGCGGGACUUUGGUGGCGGCGCUCGUUGCCGCAGGCAGGACGGAGAAGUGGGACUUUUCCGUAACAUUAUCGGUCAAGGUGUCCAUAUAGGCAUACAUCGAUCAAGGAGGCUGGCAGUCCACAGUAUCUCCCUAUGAACUGGCCUCUUGUUUUCAUAGUUUUGUGCAUGAAUCCAGUGCAAUCAGUGGCAGAUCCC
Molecule: non-coding RNA, 1839 nt
Organism: Lolium perenne
Lineage: Eukaryota; Viridiplantae; Streptophyta; Magnoliopsida; Poales; Poaceae
Source: RefSeq, a predicted model, not a curated record